Molecule: long non-coding RNA, 507 nt
Organism: Liolophura sinensis
Lineage: Eukaryota; Metazoa; Mollusca; Polyplacophora; Chitonida; Chitonidae
Exons: 4
Source: RefSeq, a predicted model, not a curated record
GAUUUGGAGUUACAAUGGGAUGACAUUUUAAGCGAAUGGGCCCUACACAGGAUUUCAAGCCCCGCAAAAGAAAGCAUUCCGUUAGUUCAUAUUCAAGCACUGACAAAAAGACAGAUGACGAAUUCUUCGAUGCGUUGCACGAGCUGGACAUUGAAGAAAUACAAAACAAGACGGGCGACAUAGGAUUUGGGGAAGAAUUCCUAGCCGAUUUGGAGUUACAGUGGGAUGACAUUUUAAGUGAUUGGGAAACUAUGCAGGAUGUCACACCAAGGAAAGAAAGCGCUCCGAUAGUUCCCACGCAGCCGAGGACAAAGAGACCCGUCCCUCGAGGGAAAUACAGCCUUGGACGUCCCAACUAGACAUUCCUGAGCCGACAACUUCCCACGCGGAUAACUUACAGCUGGGUUAUUACAAGCCUAAAGGCACGCUAAAACGAGCAACACAUCGCAAAAGCACCAAGGGUAAAGGGAAGGGAAAACGCUCGGCGAUAGCGCAACAGAAGGCACA